RNAcentral lists this ribosomal RNA (766 nucleotides) under Niphargus puteanus. Its description in RNAcentral is "partial 28S ribosomal RNA". Lineage: Eukaryota; Metazoa; Arthropoda; Malacostraca; Amphipoda; Niphargidae. The record is from RNAcentral.
GCUCAGAGUAUAAGCCAAUGGAGCUUGGAAGGCUUCCGCAGAUGGUGUCCAUCAUACGUGGUGUUCUUAAGACCUUGAGUGUGGCUCGUCAGGCGAAGCAUUGAGUUUGCCGGGUAGCUGUCGUGCGGGGGGUUCGGCUUGGAGGUCUCAGGCUUCGGCCGAAAGGCUUCCGGUUGUCCCCUUUUGAAUGGGCGUUCAGAGCUCUUGUGUCUAAUGCGGUUAUGCCCACCACAGCACGUUGUGAGGUCACCCACAGGCUCAAACUGCCGAUCGCGCAUCCAGGACGAUGGCAACGAUGCGUUGUUGAUGAUGGCUCGAGAGAGACUUCACUCACACGCGUGUCUAGUCCUGGGUCGGGCGGCGACCGAGAUAAACCUGGUAUGAUCCUCUUGCGACGAGCUGCUUUCUGGCCAGACCGACGCCCAGGCACCUCCACUGUGCCGGAAGUGCCAAUCCCAGGCGGUGUGAACCCAGCUGCAUUAUGCAAGGUCUCUCAGCCGGGCGUUGGUCUGAGUGGUGUUAAGUCCAGCACCAUCGGUCACGUCUCGAAACACGGGCCAAGGAGUAUAGCAUGUGUGCAAGUCUAAGGGUCUCACAAAACCCGAAGGCGAAGUGAAAGCAAGACUGUGGCGGGGGAGCUACGGCAAACCCGCCGGCCUAGUGGCGCGUGCGUCGCCUGGCUUUUAGCAGAGCUGAUCCUGUUUUCUCGGUUAAUUCUUGGUGCAGGCGCAAGCUCCGGGCUCACGUACAACUCUGGUCACGCCUC